Molecule: ribosomal RNA, 434 nt
Filed under: uncultured bacterium
Lineage: Bacteria
Description: bacterial SSU rRNA
Rfam family: Bacterial small subunit ribosomal RNA
Source: RNAcentral
AACGAACGCUGGCGGCAGGCCUAACACAUGCAAGUCGAGCGAGAAGCCACCUUCGGGUGGUGGGCAGCGGCGGACGGGUGAGUAAUGCGUGGGUAUAUGCCCUUUGGUACGGAAUAGCCCCUGGAAACGGGGAGUAAUACCGUAUGUGCCCUACGGGGGAAAGAUUUAUCGCCAAAGGAUUAGCCCACGUUGGAUUAGCUAGUUGGUGAGGUAAAGGCUCACCAAGGCGACGAUCUAUAGCUGGUUUGAGAGGAUGAUCAGCCACACUGGGACUGAGACACGGCCCAGACUCCUACGGGAGGCAGCAGUGGGGAAUAUUAGACAAUGGGGGCAACCCUGAUCUAGCCAUGCCGCGUGAGUGAAGAAGGCCCUAGGGUUGUAAAGCUCUUUCAGAUGUGAGGAUGAUGACAGUAACAUCAGAAGAAGCCCCGGCU